RNAcentral lists this ribosomal RNA (514 nucleotides) under uncultured bacterium. Its description in RNAcentral is "partial 16S ribosomal RNA". It matches the Rfam family "Bacterial small subunit ribosomal RNA", at positions 28 to 523 of the family's 1533-position model. The record is from RNAcentral.
GACGAACGCUGGCGGCGUGCCUAACACAUGCAAGUCGAACGGAGAAUUAGCAAUAAUUCUUAGUGGCGAACGGGUGAGUAACGCGUAGACAACCUACCCUUUAGAUGGGGACAACACCGCGAAAGUGGUGCUAAUACCGAAUAUUGCUUGAGAAGCGCAUGCUUUUCAAACUAAAGAUGGCCUCUAUUUAUAAGCUAUCGCUAAAGAAUGGGUCUGCGUCUGAUUAGCUAGUUGGUGAGAUAAAAGCUCACCAAGGUAACGAUUAGUAGCCGGUCUGAGAGGAUGAACGGCCACACUGGGACUGAGAAACGGCCCAGACUCCUGCGGGAGGCAGCAGUGGGGAAUCUUCCGCAAUGGACGAAAGUCUGACGGAGCAACGCCGCGUGAGUGAUGAAGGUUUUCGGAUCGUAAAACUCUGUUGUUAAGGACGAAUGUAUAGAUUGUGAAUAAUGGUUUAUAAUGACGGUACUUAACGAGGAAGCCACGGCUAACUACGUGCCAGCCGCCGCCGUAA